CCCGCUCAGAAACUACAAAGGAAUUGACGGGGACCCGCACAAGCAGCGGAGCAUGUGGUUUAAUUCGAAGCAACGCGAAGAACCUUACCAGAUCUUGACAUCCAAUUGACCAUCUUUUAAUCGAGAUUUUGCCUUCGGGUACAAUUGAGACAGGUGGUGCAUGGUUGUCGUCAACUCGUGUCGUGAGAUGUUGGGUUAAGUCCCGCAACGAGCGCAACCCUUGUGUUUAGUUGCAAACAGGUCAAGCUGUGCACUCUAGACAGACUGCCGUGGACAACACGGAGGAAGGUGGGGAUGACGUCAAAUCAUCAUGCCCCUUAUGAUCUGGGCUACACACGUGCUACAAUGGCCGGUACAACGGGCAGCGAAGGAGCGAUCCGGAGCGAAUCCUAAAAAGCCGGUCCCAGUUCGGAUUGCAGGCUGAAACUCGCCUACAUGAAGUUGGAGUUGCUAGUAAUCGCGAAUCAGAAUGUCGCGGUGAAUGCGUUCCCGGGUCUU
RNAcentral lists this ribosomal RNA (498 nucleotides) under uncultured Fusibacter sp. RNAcentral describes it as "bacterial SSU rRNA". It matches the Rfam family "Bacterial small subunit ribosomal RNA", at positions 903 to 1382 of the family's 1533-position model. The record is from RNAcentral. Lineage: Bacteria; Bacillati; Bacillota; Clostridia; Eubacteriales; Fusibacteraceae.